CCAAUAGCGUAUAUUAAAGUUGUUGCGGUUAAAAAGCUCGUAGUUGAAUUUCGGGAUCAGUACGCUGGUCGUGCCUUCGGUAUGUACUGGUGUUACUCGUUCCCACCUUCUGACGAACCGUCAUGUCAUUAAUUUGGUGUGGCGGGAAAUCAGGACUGUUACUUUGAAAAAAUUAGAGUGUUUAAAGCAGGCUCGCGCUUGAAUACAUUAGCAUGAAAUAAUGAAAUAGGACGUUCGAUCCUAUUUUGUUGGUUUCUAGGAUUGACGUAAUGAUUAAUAGGGAUAGUUGGGGGCAUUAGUAUUCAAUUGUCAGAGGUGAAAUUCUUGGAUUUAUUGAAGACUAACUACUGCGAAAGCAGUUGCCAAGGAUGUUUUCAUUAAUCAAGAACGAAAGUUAGGGGAUCGAAGACGAUCAGAUACCGUCGUAGUCUUAACCAUAAACUAUGCCGACUAGGGAUCGGAUGAUGUUAUUUUUAAUGACUCAUUCGGCGCCUUACG
Molecule: unclassified non-coding RNA, 498 nt
Filed under: uncultured Glomus
Lineage: Eukaryota; Fungi; Glomeromycota; Glomeromycetes; Glomerales; Glomeraceae
Description: SSU rRNA
Rfam family: Eukaryotic small subunit ribosomal RNA
Source: RNAcentral